This is a long non-coding RNA of Zea mays, 343 nucleotides long. RefSeq lists it as uncharacterized. The record is from RefSeq and is a predicted model, not a curated record. Lineage: Eukaryota; Viridiplantae; Streptophyta; Magnoliopsida; Poales; Poaceae. The transcript has 3 exons.
AACGGUUCGACGUCUUACUCAAACAAGGAUACACAUAUACAUUGUAUAAAGUGGCAUUCUGUCUAAACUGGGCGGAGGUUCAAUUUCGGAAUAUUGCGCAUGGGCUAGAGUUGGGAUUGAUAACACAUACUAUUGUGGAGCCAUUCACUAAACCAAUUCAAUUUCCUCCAUUUCCAAAAUAUCUUAUGCCAUUUCAUGAUGUUUACCAACAACCGCAUAAGACGUUCGUAGACAUUAUUGGCAUAGUUGUUCAUUUGGAGCCAUUAAAGUAUAUCGGUGGAAGGCCAUACAGAGAGGCUGUACUAAUGGAUUCCAGGUGGAAUCUAAUUGUCAUGGGGGUAUG